GGGCACAGGGCGUGGUGGCUAGGCAGCAGGCAGAAGCCGUACCAUGCCUGCCCUUGUGUCUUAGCUUGUUCAUCGCCGGGACCAAAGGACCUGGCGAGAACAGUUAGAGGAGGAGAAGUUACUUGGCACUCACCAUCUCGGAGGUUCGGCCGCGGCUGGCUACUGGAAGGGGGGCCGACCAUCACGGUGGAAGGGCGUGGGCGGGAAAGCAGCUCAGGACAGGCCAUCAGGAAGCAGAGAGCUCUGCCCACUAGGGACAAAAUAUAAACCCAAAGGCCCAACCCCAGGGACCUGUCUCCACCCGCAGAGUCACCACCGGUCAGCCCACGUCAGGGGACCCACGCACUGAUUAGGACAAGGCUCUCCUAACCCUAAACUUCACCUCUAAACGUCCUUCACAGUCUCACCCAUGAGCUUCUGGGCGGCACCUCAGGCCACAGCAGCUUGGCACUGCCUUUCAGGACACAGGAGUGGACAGAGGAGCGCUGCAGGAUGUCCUAUGAGUUGCUUAGCAUCUCGCUUUUGCUAAGGCUGGCCUUGAACUCACGAUCCUCCUGCCUCAGCCUCCUGAGGAUUCCAGGUGUGCGACACAACGCCCAGCUACCCAGGUUUCUUGAGUGGACAUUUUUCUUGGGGCAAAAAUGUGUUUCUCAUUUAUUUAGUUAUUAUUAUUUAUUUUAAUGAAACAGUCUUUGCCACAGUCCCCCCUGGUCCCUGCCACUCCCUCACUAAAGCUGCUGUCGGUCACCAUUUACCCUUGUGCUGGAACUUUUUGAUUUUUCUGUCGUCAGAAGAGCAAAGGGAGAGAUUGUUGGCUGAAACUGUGUAUCUGGCAAAAGCAAUUAAACACAAAUUAGCCAGAAAUGGCCUUGUGUGUUAAGAAAAACGAGGAAGAGGCUGUUUUUUCCGUGGAAUCUGAGAAUAUUCCCUGUGUCUGGCCUGCAGACACCGUGUGCCUACGUGAAACCACCCUGUGUGCCCCGUGACCUGCUCGUCCCUUUACAUUCAAGUCUCAGGUGUUAGAUUAGAAGUCCGUGGGUGGACCACAGGGUGCAGUCUGUCUCAGGGAUGUAGUUCUGUAUUAAUUUAUGCUUCAGAUUUUCAGAAAACCUGCUGUGUUCUGGGUUCUGGGCAAGCCAGUGGCACACAAUGGUGCCGUCCCCAAGACUGGCAUCGUGGUCUGGGAGAUGCGUGGACAGUAAAGAUGGAAGGGAAGGCGGUGGCCGUGCUGUACACGUGGGUUCCACGUCUGCAGGUUUAGCCACCUGGGGAUCAAAAAUGUCGGGGGAAAAUGUGCAAAAAGUAGAAUAAUAAAAAUGAUGCAGAUAUUCAAAGACCUAGUACAGGCUGGGGAUGUGGCUCGGCGGUAGGUGCUUGCCGAGCGCACACAGACCUGGGUUCAUCCCCAGCGAAACUAAAGCGGCAAAAGAGGCAAACGGCAUCACAGUGAGUUACAUAGCAAUGAAUUUGCAUUUGAGCAACAUGAAUCAUCAGAGAUGACCCAGAAUACACAGGAGGGAGGGGAUUGAACUCAGUCCCUUCACACAUGCUGGACAAGUGCUUUCCCACUGAGGUGCAUCCCCAGCCCUUUUUAAAAUUAUUAUUAAUAUUUUUUCUUUAGUUGUAGAUGAACACAAUGACUUGACUUUAUUUAUUUAUUUAUUUAUUUAUUUACUUAUAUGUGGUGCUGAGGAUCGAACCCAGGGCCUCACACGUGCGAGGCAGGCGCUCUGCCACUGAGCCCCAGCCCUCCCCAGCCCUUUUUAAAAAUUAUAUUGUGAGACAGCAUCUUGCGAAGUUACCCAGGCUGAUCUUGAACUUGAGAUCCUCCUGCCUCAGCCUCCCCAAUCGCUGGGGUUACAGGCUUGAGCCACUGCAUGUCUACAGGAGGAUGUGCCUAGGAUCUGUGCAGAGCUACACCCUUCUAUGCAACAACCUGAGCAUCCUCAGGUUUUGGUAUCUGAAGGGGUCCUGGAACCAAUUCCCUCACAGAUACUGAGGAAGGGCUGUGACAAAAUGGUGACAGAGGCCCCACGGGAGGUACCUAAGGGCUGCGGUGGAGGCCUAGUGUCUAGAGGAUGGCAAACACUGUUCACUGUACAUAGCUGUACAUAGCCUGUACAUAGCUGUGGGGGAUAGACACCCAGAGGGUUGCGUGGUGGACCUCAGGUGGGGCAGUGGGAAGCGGGCAGGGCCCAGCCAGGCCGGGGGCCUUGGGGAGGAGUGUGGAUUCUGCUCCUGGGUCAUGGAUCAAAGCCCUGAGCUGGGUGUGAGCAGGUGCAGGCCGGGGUCAGGGCCUGGGACUUCUGGCUGUAGGACCGAGACCAACCCCAAGGCUGGAGUGGCUGCCAGGAGACCAGAGCUGGCUGCUGAGGCCCCAGGUACAGGAGGACAGUGCCCACCAGGCCCCUGGCUCAGAGACUUCUGGGGCAUGAGAAACCAAGGCCACAGUGGGCGCUUGGAGAGAGCCCACCCCCUUGAAAGGGAGUUCCCGGCUGGGAUCCACACAACCAGCAGUGAGCUGUCCUUAGCCCCCUGACAGGGCCUUCCCCAAGAUACCUUCUUCCUGGCUGGCGACCCUCAGCCCCAAGGCAGGAGCAUUAGAAAGAAACAGCUUCCCAAAGAUUGGAAACAGCCCUAUGCCCAUGAGCAUGGCUGGUCCCCAGUGGACACAGUGGACACCUUGCUGCCCCGAGACGCUGCCCACCUCGGUGUGUGCAUGUGCGACCACCUUCUGGAAAUCCAAGCAGAAGGCAGAGAUUCCACAAUCGAUGCAUCUGUAAAGCGGAGACUCCGUGAAGCCUGUCGCUGGGGGCGGGUCCAGCCGGGUUGAGGGCCCUGGGCAGGUCCUGGUUCCUAAACUUUGUGGACAUUGUCAUGUUUGGAGAAUCUUCACAAGAAGUUCUGAUGCGUUGGAGCUGGGUCGUGGCUCAGUGGUGGAGCACUUGCCUGGCAGGGUGAGGCACUGGGUUCGAUUCUUAGCCCCACAUCUAAAUAAAUAAAUAAAAUGAAGGUCCAUCAAUGACUAAAAAAAAUAUUAAAAAAAAAGUACUGAUGCGUGGCUCCCGGCCCCACGUUCUGGUCUAACUGGUGAGGGGCACUGGGCAAUGGGAUCUGAAAAGCUCCCCAGGAGGGCAUUAGCCUGGGAGUGACCCAGUCUGCCUGUUUGGGACAUCACUGUGACUGCUGCGUGGAGCUGGUGUGGACAGGUGCCCCCAGGGCCCCAGCUGGGGAUCUGGACUUCUCCACAGUCCCCUGGUGAUUCUGAUAGUCGUCCUGCUUAAGGCCACCUGCCUGCUCUGGCCUGGACCUGACUGGGGUCACAGGCUUGUUGGUGGCAGUGGGACCGGAGCCAGAGUCCAGGAGUACCCCCGCCCAGCCUCAGGCCCCACUGUCCUGCUUGCCCUGGGUCCUCAGUGCCUGGUGCCGAUGGGGGAGGAAAAGUCUCAUGGGUGUGUGGACACCGUGCUCAGCCCAGGCCCUGGACGGCCAAGAGGUGGGAGCACAGGGGCUGGGGCCUGUGCGGGGGCCUCUGUGCGCCUCCAUCUCCUGGAUAUCCGGUGGUUGGAGGAUGGGCCAGGAGUCCACAGAAGAUGUCAAGGGGUGGGGCUGCCGUGAGCCGUCUGGGGACGUUCAUCACAGUGGUAGCCAUUGCACAGGUGUUUGCUGAGCAGGUCCAGCUGCAGACACCAUGCCAGGCGCUGGGAGGAGAGCACCAGGCCUGUCCCCAGGGCCCCCAGGGGCUCGUGGCGAGGGUGAUGCCACUCACCCAUGUGGCCCGUGGUUCUGCACCGUCUCUGGAAGCAGGUGACCCCAGGCCUCCCUCGGGGCUGGAGGUUAGGAAUUUUCCACUCUCCAGGAUGCCCUGGUGCAGGCUCGGGGUCUUGUGUCCCCUCUGCACCUGUGUACCUCAGGCCAGCUGUGGACGUCACAGUCGUGCAAAACACAGCUACUGCCUGCGCAGUCCAAAUGGGCCUCGGUUCCUGGAUUGAGUCACUGGACCUGAAUUUAUUCCUUGGCUGUGGCUGUGGGGAAAUUUUGCUUUGUGGUUCAUUUAAAGUAAAUUGGAAUCAAUUGUUUUUAGCAAUUAAGUUUUGUUUAAGAAUUUUAAAAAGUACACAUACGUUACCAGUCCAAGAGCCCGUGACUGUGGCGGUUGAGCGGGCCGUCCGCUCCUGCCUGCAGAGGCCUGCCCUCAUCCUCAGGUCCCUUCCGGGCGGCUGCUCAGGUCCUUCCCCACCCCCACCGUCCUCUGCCCACUCCUACAUUGUCUGCCCUGUGGGUCCUUCUCACUUAAUGUGGCUUGGAGAGCUCUCCAUACAAGUGCCCAGAGAACUGCCCAAUUUUUGUUAUGUUUUUUCAGUGCUGGGGACCAAACCCAGGGCCUUCCCCUUACCAGGUAAAUGAUCCACUUCUAGGUACGUCCCUGGUCCUCUGCCUGAUUUUUUUUUUUAAGAAAACUAGACAGAUUUGUGUCUGUGUGACUUAUUAUUUAGGUGACCGUUCUUCCACUGACAGUCACUUAGGUUCUGCGGAGCCUUUUGCUGUGAACACCUGAAACCCGUCACUGUGCAUUUGUGCAAAAUCAGGAUAAACCCCUGGGAGGAGGGGACCGUCUAAGGGUAUGAGCAUUUUUUAAAAAUAUCUUUAUUCUAUUUACUUAUUUAUAUGUGGUGCUGAGGAUCGACCCACGGCCUUGCACGCCCUAGGCAAGCACUCUACGCUGAGCACCAGUCAUUGUUGCCAAAUUACCUUCUUGGAAGUCGGGGUCAGGAUGAAUGUGGAAGAGUGGCCGGUCCCCUCUGGACACUCAGACCUCAAGGCCGAGGGUCCUGAGGGACCAGGACGGGUGUCUCUUCCUUGAGGAGGGAUGAUUAUCUACCCUGCCAGGUCCUCCCUGGCUGGCAGUGCAGACCCGAGGCAGCCGGAGCUCUCUCUGUGCCCCCAGCCAGGGUCUUUCAACUCUCAUUUCACCCCUUUCAUCCUGGACCCAGAGGAGAGCUGCUUCUUCUGCCCAGGUUGAGUGGACACUGUGGCUUCUACGAAGAUUGUGGUGUGUGUUUAAAUAGCGCUACUAAGGUAUGACCCAGGCACAUAGGAGCCACUCAUUUAAAGUGACCAGUUCAAUGGCCUGGCCUGGUCACAGCCCCCAGCCAUUUCCUCCCCCCUCAGGGGAGACCCUGACCUCUCAGCUCUCAGACCCAGACCCCACCCAGCUCCUCUGUCCCUGCGGACCUGCCUCUUUGGACAUUUUACACAUUUGUGUCUUAAAGGCACAGCGUGACCCCAGGUCUGAAGGCGUGUUCAGCCCCCAACAGUCUUAUUGACCAUCACGGGUUUUUAAAAAUUCACCAGGUUAGUUUUAGAUGGCUGCCAAUCGGGAGCAUUGCACAAGUGUCUGGACCACAUUUGUCCUGAACAGGCGGGCCUGCAGCUCCCACUUGGCACUAGCUGGUGCCAGGCAGCCGCCUCUUUCCAUGGGGCAAAGGGUCUCUCUGUGCCCCAGCCCCCCACUCCCUCCCCCGAGGCUGAGCCUCGGCUGAGGUGUGGUUUGCUUGUGCUGCUGUCUUUCUUAAGACAAAGGUGGGACACAGAACUCCAGCCAUUGGUAGAGGCAUCCGUAGGCUGGCCUCUUCCUGACCCAACAGGUGACUGUCACCUGCCUGGCUUCUGUGUCCACGCAGGUUUGGAGACCCGGCUGGGUCCACGUUACAGACAUGGACGUGGGGCUUGCAGCUCAGGGGGAUGGCAAGCGACCCUGGGAAGCUGCUUGGUUGGCACCCUCCGGGUCCCUCCUGAGGGGGUCAGAGCAGUGUCCCCCACCCCCCGUUUUCAAAUGGGGAAACUGAGGCACAGGGAUGGUCAAAGAUGGAGUGGAGACCACACAGCACAGAAGGUGCCGUCAGGACGACAGCUCUGGGCUGCGGUCCUCAGGCAGUGGCUCCUGUGGGUGCGUGUCCUCCUCCUCCUGCUGAUUUCCUCCCUCCCUCCCUCCGUCCUUUCUUUCCUGCAAAGAAUAUUCAUCGAGCAUCGAGCACCGUAUUGAUCCCCAACUGCGGGUAGCAAACGACUCAACCCGCUCAGCUUAGCACAUGCCCGCGACUUGGAGGCGCCUGGGCGGGUGGCUGCUGCUGGCUGUGGCCGGCUGUGCUGUCUGCCCCUGCAGGUCCAGUGUGGCCUGGCCGUCGUCUGGCUGCUGGCGGUGUGCGUCUCAGUCUCCACGUGGCCUCCCAACCUCCGGGGCCUCUCGCCAGGGCCUCUGCAGCAGAUCGCCUGGACUGACUCCCAGCGCUGGCUUCCAGGAGGGCGAAUCAAGCUCAAGGCCGAGGCCCAGGCUGAGGCCCAGGCGUCACAGAGUGUCACUGUCUUGGUCUGUUUUGUGCCGCUGUGACAGAUCGCACUGGCGGGGUUACUUGUGAUGAACAGAAGGUUAUUUGGCUCACAGUUCUGGAGGCUGAAAGUCCAAGGUGGAGGGCCCGUGUUUGUGAGCAUCUUUCUGCUGCAUCCUCCCAACACGGUCGUGGGGGAUUAAGCUUCCAGCAUGGGGGGGCGCACAUUCCAGACAGAGCCACCUCCUCAUGGGCACAGUGGCAAAAGGGCAGGUGGCUGGGGUCCAUCUUUGGAAACCCCAGCUCUACCGUGGGCCAGGCCCUCUUCCGGGACCUGUAACAGAAAACUGAAUAAAAAAAGAUACCAAAACCCAAGAUGUCUAGACGUGUCAUCUGGUGGUGGGAGAGCCAGGGUCUCCCUAAGUUGGCCAGGCCGGACUGAAGCUUGGGGUCCUCCCGCCUCAGCCUCUUGAGCAGCUGGGAUUCCAGGGGAGCCCCCCGCACCCUGCAAACGUCAGGGUUUCAGAGUGCACAGUGGAGUGACGCUCAGUGUGCUCACUGGGAGGCUCAAAUGCUCCCACGGCUCGUUCCAGAACAUUCCCACAGCCUCAGAAAGGAAACCUCAUGGCCCUUAGCAAGGAUCCCCGCCCCUCCCCUGCCCCCACCAAAGGGAAGGGCACUAACGCACUCUGGCCUCUCGCCUGCCCUUCUGGGCGCGACAUACAAAUGCGAUCCGAAGCCUGUGGCCACCAUGGCUGGCUUCUGUCACUUGCAUGGCUGGCUUCUGUCACUUGCGUGUGCUCUCCGGACCCUCCCCACUGCAGCCUGGACCAACCCGUUCCUUUUUAUCAGGCAGAAGACUGUAAUAUGCAUCGACCACGCCUCAUUGGCCCGCGCCCCAGCUCAGGGACACCAGGUGACCCCCACUUCUUGACUAUUCUGGAGUCUGUGCGACUUCUUGCAGGAGCAUGUGUUUUCAAUUCUUCUGGGGAAGGAGCUUGGUCAUGGGGUAGCUGCCGCCUUCCUCCCGAGGAACUUCCAGGCUGGUUUCCAGAGCAACCGCACAGCGGCACCUUCCACCCGGCUGUGCCCUGCUCCACUUCCUCCCCACGCUCCUGG
RNAcentral lists this long non-coding RNA (7448 nucleotides) under Marmota monax (woodchuck). Lineage: Eukaryota; Metazoa; Chordata; Mammalia; Rodentia; Sciuridae. The record is from RNAcentral.